Molecule: long non-coding RNA, 598 nt
Organism: Clupea harengus (Atlantic herring)
Lineage: Eukaryota; Metazoa; Chordata; Actinopteri; Clupeiformes; Clupeidae
Gene: spag17
Exons: 3
Source: RefSeq, a predicted model, not a curated record
ACUAAGAACGUUCUGGUGCGUCAGAACUCCACCCAGCUCCACCCAUCUCAUGACAGCAAUGAUUGCACCAAUACUGAACUCUCCAGGGUGAUCAGCCCUGAAGGAACUGUGAUCAGAUACUUCAGAGAUGGGUCGAGCCAGAUCCUUUUUGCAGAUGGCACUGUAAGCAACUGUGGAGAACACAUUCUGCAUUCAGCUCAAGACCCAUUCACUAGAGAGAAUGGGUGUUUGAGGGAGCAGCACAUGGAUGGCAGAGAAUCGAAAGAAAGAAAAGGCUCCCAAAAUAAUACACUUAUAUCAGGAAAGUGCACCUUUGAGAGUGGCACAGGAAGUGAGGUAGAUGAACUGAAGAAAAAGAAUGACCAAAGUCCAGCACAGCUGCGUCGCUCCUGGACCACAACGACACCAUCUGGCCUCCAGCUCCACAGCGCAGGAGACACAUCAGGGGACAUUCAACAUAUCCUAACCUACACAUCAACCGACCCCUUCAGCCAAACAGUAAGCAACCAAUGUUGUACAUGACUAAUGGACUAAUUGGUUUACUGAACCAAAGCCUUACUUGAAAAAGAACAUUUGUAGCAGAUAUUACAACUAAAGC